UAGGGAAUCUUCCGCAAUGGGCGAAAGCCUGACGGAGCAACGCCGCGUGAGUGAAGAAGGUUUUCGGAUCGUAAAGCUCUGUUGUAAGAGAAGAACGAGUGUGAGAGUGGAAAGUUCACACUGUGACGGUAUCUUACCAGAAAGGGACGGCUAACUACGUGCCAGCAGCCGCGGUAAUACGUAGGUCCCGAGCGUUGUCCGGAUUUAUUGGGCGUAAAGCGAGCGCAGGCGGUUAGAUAAGUCUGAAGUUAAAGGCUGUGGCUUAACCAUAGUACGCUUUGGAAACUGUUUAACUUGAGUGCAAGAGGGGAGAGUGGAAUUCCAUGUGUAGCGGUGAAAUGCGUAGAUAUAUGGAGGAACACCGGUGGCGAAAGCGGCUCUCUGGCUUGUAACUGACGCUGAGGCUCGAAAGCGUGGGGAGCAAACAGGAUUAGAUACCCUGGUAGUCCACGCCGUAAACGAUGAGUGCUAGGUGUUAGACCCUUUCCGGGGUUUAGUGCCGCAGCUAACGCAUUAAGCACUCCGCCUGGGGAGUACGACCGCAAGGUUG
RNAcentral lists this ribosomal RNA (550 nucleotides) under uncultured bacterium. RNAcentral's name for it is "bacterial SSU rRNA". It matches the Rfam family "Bacterial small subunit ribosomal RNA", at positions 355 to 896 of the family's 1533-position model. The record is from RNAcentral. RNAcentral also lists the same sequence under 1 other name.